RNAcentral lists this ribosomal RNA (461 nucleotides) under Chloropicon mariensis. Its description in RNAcentral is "partial Bacterial large subunit ribosomal RNA". It matches the Rfam family "Bacterial large subunit ribosomal RNA", at positions 1459 to 1894 of the family's 2925-position model. Lineage: Eukaryota; Viridiplantae; Chlorophyta; Chloropicophyceae; Chloropicales; Chloropicaceae. The record is from RNAcentral.
AUUAACAGGUGUGACGCAGGAAGGUAGCCGAGCCGGGCGAUGGUAGUCCCGGUCUAAGGAUGUAGGAAACACGAUAGGCAAAUCCGUUGUGUUGUCUUCAAUGACGAUUCUGAGAUCUGAUGGGACCCCCGCAUGGGGGAAUUCGGUGAUCCUAUGCUGCCUAGAAAACCUUCGUGAGCGAGUUGUUGAGCCGCCCGUACCCUAAACCGACUCAGGUGGUCAGGUAGAGAAUACCAAGGCGAUCGAGCGAACUGUGGUUAAGGAACUCGGCAAAAUGCCCCCGUAACUUCGGGAUAAGGGGGGCCGACCAUGUUGACGGACUUGCUCCGGAAUGCGUGGGAGGCCGCAGAGACCAGGCCCAAGCGACUGUUUACUAAAAACACAGGUCCGUGCCAAGUCGCAAGACGAUGUAUACGGACUGACGCCUGCCCGGUGCUGGAAGGUUAAGAGGACCUGUUAGC